GUAGGGUGCAAGCGUUAAUCGGAAUUACUGGGCGUAAAGCGUGCGCAGGCGGUUUUGUAAGACAGUGGUGAAAUCCCCGGGCUCAACCUGGGAACUGCCAUUGUGACUGCAAGGCUGGAGUGCGGCAGAGGGGGAUGGAAUUCCGCGUGUAGCAGUGAAAUGCGUAGAUAUGCGGAGGAACACCGAUGGCGAAGGCAAUCCCCUGGGCCUGCACUGACGCUCAUGCACGAAAGCAUGGGGAGCAAACAGGAUUAGAUACCCUGGUAGUCCCACGCCCCUAAACGAUGUCAACUGGUUGUUGGGAAUUUAUUUUCUCAGUAACGAAGCUAACGCGUGAAGUUGACCGCCUGGGAGUACGGCCGCAAGGUUA
RNAcentral lists this ribosomal RNA (370 nucleotides) under uncultured organism. Its description in RNAcentral is "partial 16S ribosomal RNA". It matches the Rfam family "Bacterial small subunit ribosomal RNA", at positions 527 to 896 of the family's 1533-position model. The record is from RNAcentral.